Molecule: unclassified non-coding RNA, 425 nt
Filed under: soil metagenome
Description: partial contains 5.8S ribosomal RNA, internal transcribed spacer 2, and large subunit ribosomal RNA
Rfam family: 5.8S ribosomal RNA (bases 1-120)
Source: RNAcentral
GAUGAAGAACGUAGCGAAAUGCGAUAAGUAAUGUGAAUUGCAGAAUUCAGUGAAUCAUCGAAUCUUUGAACGCACCUUGCGCUCCUUGGUAUUCCGAGGAGCAUGCCUGUUUGAGUGUCAUGAAACCCUCAAACCCAAGUUUUGGAUUUCGAUCCAUGCUUGAGUUUGGAUUUGGAUGUUUGCCGGUGAUGAACCGACUCAUCUUAAAAGUAUUAGCUUGGAUCUGUCUAUAUGACUGGUUUGACUUGGCAUAAUAAGUAUUUUGCUGAGGACAUCUUCGGAUGGCCAGGACCUAGACUACUGUCUGCUAACUAAACCAUCACUUUAAGUGCAUCUUUGGAUGUUACUCAUUGUGUAACUUUGACAUCUGGCCUCAAAUCAAGUAGGACUACCCGCUGAACUUAAGCAUAUCAAUAAGCGGAGGA